Molecule: long non-coding RNA, 7289 nt
Filed under: Panax ginseng (ginseng)
Lineage: Eukaryota; Viridiplantae; Streptophyta; Magnoliopsida; Apiales; Araliaceae
Description: long non-coding RNA (PGIN_LNC000808)
Source: RNAcentral
UUCGAUUUAACAUGUACACGUUAGAACCCCUUUGUAUUUAUAUUUUGUCGCAUGUGUUGUGACAUUAUAUUUUGUUAGAAUACCGUAGGGUAUACCUGAGCUAUAACCACCUGUGGGGGUAUCACAGGCAUGUCCUCUUGGCACCGAGGCAUGACACCUUCCGUGGCGGUGUGAUCAGUCCACGGAGUCUCCGUUUUGUGCUCCGGUGGGAGUUGGCCAUUUGGUGUUUUGUUGUGGGAGGCGUAUGGGUCGACCCUAGUUUUCUAUUCUGUUCUGUUCUGCGGAUUGGUGAUGUUUGUGCCAAACACGCCUUCUGAUUUGCAUGCAUCUGGAUCUGGUUAGUCCGAUGUAUGUUAUGCAUGUGUGGCAUUAUUUUGAUUUGCCUGUGUGGCAUUAUUUGACUUGCCUGUGUGGCAAGAUAUAUUUCUGUUUAUUUUGAGCUCGGUAUGAAAUAACACCCAGCCAUUUGAUUCAGCCUAUUAUUUUGUUGUGUCAGUUUUGUUCAUUUCGUUUCAUUUUAGUUCGUUUUGUUUCAUUUCAUUUCAUUGAGUUAGUUAUUUCGAUUUAUUAUUUUUAUUCUAUAUCCGUACUGGGCAUUUGGCUCAUGUUGUGUUUUUCUUCCGGCAGGUAAUCAGGGGAAUCAAGGGCAAGUGUGACGAGAGCUCCCUUCUAUCCAAUAAUUUUGAUAUAUUUUGUUAGGCUAUGAUACAUCGAUUUAUUUAGAGUUGUAAUAGUUAUUUCAGACUGUUGUUUGAGCCAGUGUGGCAUUUAUUAUGGUUUGUUCUAAGACAUUUAAUCAGUUUGAGAUUAUUCUUUUGUGGAUUAGAGUUUUUCUAUAUAUUCAUCAUUAUGUUAUGUUUUGUGCGUAACCUCUCUUUCUAUUUCAGAAAGGGGGUGUUACAGAGUUGGUAUCAGAGCCAGGUUCUUUCCUGUAGAAAACCUAUUUAGGUUUGACCUGUGAGUUAUGGGUAGACUUCUGGGUUAGGUUUUGUUCUGUUUGAUUUUCUGUUCAGCUAUCAUAACAGCUAUAUUCGAAUCUGUCUCUAAUCUGCUUUGUUAUCUAUUCAUUGAUCUCUUUGUUAGAUGGCUCGUAGAUCCACCAGAGUUGCUGGGAGGCGAGGCAACAAUAGGGGAAUAGUUGAGGGUCAGCCCAAUGAGCAACCUAAUAAUCAGAUAAAUGCUCAAUUGGCUACCUUGGUGAAUCAGGCUGUGAAUCAGGCGUUACCUCAGUUGGUGGCACAGGUUGUACAGGCAAUGCAGCAGUCGCCACCAGAAAUUCCUGAGCAGGAGAACCCGAGAAAUAAUAGUCCACAGGCAAACGAAGAGGAAGGGAAUGCAGAUGGCAUAGAUCAGCAGGUGGUUCCAAUGUAUGUGUGGUUAGAGAGGUUCCAGUAGCAGAAACCACAGACAUUCAGUUCAGCUCCAACUCCAAUUGAUGCAGAGAAUUUGAUUGCCCACUUAGAGAAGAUUUUUGAUGUGUUGGGGUUUUCGGAUAAUCAGAAAGUGUUACUUGCGGCUUACAAGAUGGAAGGGGAUGCACAGAGGUGGUGGAAGGCGGUUAAAGUAACAAAGGGUGAUGGAUUGGGACACUUAGCUGGGCAGAAUUUUGUGAGGUCUUUUAUCAGCAAUAUUUUCCUACUGCUGAUAAAGAGGCCUAUGCUAGAGAGUAUCUGUCGAUUCGGAAGAAAGAUGAUGAGUCCAUCACAGACUUCAUGACGAGGUUUACUAGGUUGAAAGGCUUUACGGGAACCUCAGCAGGGACUGCAGCAGAACAGGCAGAGAAGUUUAGGUGGAGGAUCCAUUACAGGUAUCGGCAACAUCUCAUUAACACCAAGUUUGCAGAUGUGUCAGUAGUGGCCAAUGCUGCAAAGAAUAUUAAGAUGGAGAGACAUGACUUUCUGUCUUUUAAACUGGAAGGGAGUCGAAAGAGGGAUAGAGAUGACCACCAGGGUCAAACUUCGGGUCAGCAUGGGAAGAAUCAGGGUGGUUAAUGGACUAGGAACCGUGGUGGCCAGCAGGGGCAGUUGUGUGGCCAGAAUCAAAACAGGGGUUAUCAGCAGAUGCCUCAGCUAGGGCAGAAUCGUCAGCUUCAACUACCUUAGCAUGGUCAGAAUCGUCAACCGUGGCAGAAUCAUCAACAAGGGCAGAAGUAGGGUCGUUAUCCAGGACCAGCUGGUGGGGGUAACCUAAAUCUUAUUCCGAUAGCUCCUUGUGCUACUUGUGGGGCUAAUCAUUCGGGGAGGUAGUUCCACAGACUCACAGGUGCAUGCUUCUAGUGUGGACAGACGGGUCAUAUUGCUAAGGAUUAUACCGGGCCACGUGGUAAUGGUGGAGGUGGUGAUAAUGGUGGUAAUGGAGGUCAGCGUCAGGGUGGUCAAGUGUUUGCCUUGACGUAUAAUCAGGCAGCAGGUGCACUAGGUACUGUUUCUGGCACUCUUUUAGUUAAAAAUCGUGAGGCGUCUCUUUUGUUUGAUACGGGUUCUACUCAUUCCGUUGUUGCUCAGUCUUUUGUUCGGCACCUGGGUGUGCCAUCUCAGUCUUUAGAUUCUUUUAUGUCUAUUGCUACCCCGGUGCAGACUUUUGUUGUUAUUUCUGAUUUGUAUUGAGGAUGCGCGAUCAGUUUUGGAGAUAAGAUUCAUAGAUCUAAUCUUCUUCCGAUGAGUAUGCAUGAUUUCGAUGUCAUUCUUGGGAUGGACUGGCUGGAUAAGCACCAGGCCACUAUUGAUUGUCAGGCGAAGAAGGUUAUAUUUGGAGAUGUGAAGUCUCCAGAGUUCGUGUUUCAGGGUUCACAGCCUAGUAGGGUGUUGAAGUUGAUUUCAGCUUUGAAGGCUGGGAAGUUGGUAGCAAAGGGUUGUGAGGGGUAUUUGGCAUUUAUGAAAGAUACCUCUAAGGGUGAGUCUCGUAUUGAAGAUGUUCCAAUUGUUCGUGACUUUUCUGAUGUGUUUCCUGAGGAAUUGUCAGGGUUGCCACCACAACGGGAAGUAGAGUUUGCGAUUGAGCUUGUUCCCGGUGAGGAGCCUAUCUAUAAGGCGCCGUAUCGAAUGGCACCGUUGGAGUUGCAGGAGUUGAAGGAACAGUUGCAGGAGUUAUAAGAUCGUGGUGUGAUUCGCCCGAGUGUUUCACCGUGGGGUGCUCCGGUCUUAUUUGUGAAGAAGAAAUAUGGGUCUAUGAGGUUUUGCAUAGACUACAGGGAGUUGAACAAGAUUACCAUCAGGAAUCGGUACCCAUUACCGAGGAUUGCUGACUUAUUUGACCAACUUCAGGGGGCGAAGUAUUUUCGAAGAUAGACUUGAGAUCAGGUUAUCAUCAGUUGAGGGUAAGGGAUGAGGAUAUCCCUAAGACAGCUUUUCGCACUCGAUAUGGGCAUUACGAGUUUCUGGUGAUGCCAUUUGGGUUGACUAACGCUCUAGCGGUGUUUAUGGAUUUGAUGAAUCGGGUGUUCAGGGAGUACUUAGACCAAUUUGUUAUGGCUUUAUUGAUGACAUUUUAGUUUACUCCAAGUCUAAGGAAGAGAACGAGGAACAUCUUCGCAAGGUGUUGGUGAUUUUGCAGAAAGAGAAAUUGUAUGCUAAAUUCUCUAAAUGCGAGUUUUGGUUGGAGCAUGUCGCAUUUUUGGGCCACGUUGUUUCUGCUGAAGGCAUUAAGGUGGAUCCUUUAAAGGUUGAGGCUAUCACUAAAUGGCCAAGACCUACUACAGUGACAGAGAUUAGGAGUUUCUUGGGUUUUCCAGGGUAUUAUAGGAGGUUUGUGGAAGGGUUUUCCUUGCUUGCCUUGCCAUUGACUCAGUUGAUGAGAAAGGGCGUGAAGUUUGUGUGGAAUGAAGAGUGUGAGAAGAGUUUCGAGGAAUUGAAGAAACGACUUGUGACAGCUCUUAUACUUGCAUUGCCGUCGGGGACAAGAGGUUACCAGAUUUAUAGUGAUGCUUCUAAGAAGGGCUUGGGGUGUGUUUUGAUGCAACACGGUAAGGUGAUUGCUUAUGCUUCUAGGCAGCUUAAACCUUACGAGGUGAAUUACCCCACACAUGAUUUGGAGUUGGCAGGGGUGAUCUUUGCCCUAAAGAUUUGGAGGCAUUAUUUGUAUGGAGAGACUUGUAAUAUCUUCACCGAUCACAAGAGUCUUAAAUACAUUUUCACUCAGAAGGAGCUCAAUAUGAGGCAGAGGCGUUGGUUGGAGCUUCUAAAAGAUUAUGAUGCUAGAAUUUAGUAUCACUCGGGGAAGGCAAAUAUGGUUGCAGAUGCUCUUAGCCGAAAGAGUUCACGGAGUGUAUCAGCCUUUAUUACACAACCUCAGCUUAUUUCGGAUAUUGAGCGGCUCUAGUUGGAGUUGUAUGUACGAGGUUCAGAUGGGCAUUUGGCAGGUAUGAGAGUGGAGCCCUCUCUUAUCUCGCGGGUCAAAGAAGCUCAAAAAGAAGAUGGGGAGUUGUGGAGUAUGACGCAUAAUCUAGAGGAGGGCAAGCAACCUGAGUUUUGUAUUGAUGACCAUGGUGUGAUUUGGUUGGGUGAGCGGUUGUGUGUACCGUCCGAUCCAAUCAUUCUGGAGGCGGUAUUGGUAGAGGCUCAUAGUUUGCCAUUUUCUAUUUAUCCAGGUUCUACAAAAAUGUAUAGGGAUUUGAAGAAGACUUUUUGGUGGAAUGGGAUGAAACGAGACGUGGUUGAAUAUGUUGGGAAGUGCCUCACUUGUCAACAAGUGAAGAUAGAACGUCAAUGAGCUAGUGGUUUAAUGCAACAGUUAGACAUUCCAGUGUGGAAGUGGGAGGAUAUCAUGAUAGAUUUUUUGACUAGUUUGCCGAAGACUUUUAAGAAGAAUGAUGCUAUUUGGGUAGUGGUGGACCGACUGACCAAAUCGACACACUUUUUAGCUAUCCACGAGGGUUACUCGGUAAAUAGGUUGGCACAUAUCUUUCAGCAGGAGAUUGUUAGAUUUCAUGGUACUCUGGUGUCUAUUGUUUCACAUCGGGAUCCACGGUUUACUUCACGGUUCUAAAAAGGGUUUCAAAGAGCUUGGGGUACUUGGCUCAACUUCAGUACUUCUUUUCAUCCGUAAACUGAUGGGCAAUCCGAACGGACUAUUCAGACUUUGGAAGAUAUGUUGAGGUCUUGUGCACUUGAAUUGUCGGGUAAUUGGGAUGAUUACUUCAGCCUAGUUGAGUUUGCUUAUAACAACAGCUGGCAUGGAAGUAUUGGGAUGGCUUCGUUUGAGGCAUUGUAUGGUAGAAAGUUUUGGGCACCAACUUGUUGGGAUGAGGUUGGUGAAAGGGCCAUAGAAGGCCCUGAGUUAGUCCAAAUAACUACAGAGAAGGUAACGGUGGCAAAGGAGAAAUUGAAGUCGACUCGAUCACGACAAAAGUUUUAUGUUGAUAAGCAUAAGAGGACUUUAGAGUUUGAACCUGGUGAGCAUGUGUUUCUAAAAGUUUCUCCUUGGAAGGGCAUUCGGCGAUUUGGGUUGAAAGGGAAACUUAGUCCGCGUUAUAUUGGACCAUUUGAGAUUCUGGAGAGGGUUGGUGAGGUUGCAUAUCAGUUAGCUUUGCCUCCACAGCUAGCUCAUGUGCACAAUGUGUUCCAUGUGUCGGUGUUGAGGAGUCAUCAUUAUCAUCCGUUGCACGUAGAGCAAUAUCCAUUCGAUAAGAUUCGGGAGGAUCUUACUUGUGAGGAGCAAGCUGAGGCUAUUUUGGAUCGUCAAGAAAGGAUUAUGAGGAGGAAGACUAUUUCGUUUGUUAAGGUUUUGUGAAAGAAUCAUUCGGAGCGGGAAGCCACUUGGGAGAUGGAAGAGUCUAUUCGAGCAGAGUAUCUGCAUCUUUUUGAUAAUUAGGUACGUUCUAUUCUUUUGAUUCCGGGGACGGAAUUUUUUUUAAGGGGUAGGUGAUGUAAUACCCAGUAAAAUAAUGAAUAAAUAAAUAACAUUUAAAUGCAUAUUUUAAUUUUUCUAAUUGAACUUCAUCUUUUAUUUGGGUCAACUAGUUAUUUAAUUUAUGUGGGCUAAUGUAUUAAUAAGUGAUGGAUAAAAUAAAUUGGUAAAAUUGGGCUUUAAAUUAAGUGGAUCAAAUUUAUAAUUGUGUAAUUUUUAAAAUUCUAUUAAAAUUUGGAGUUUAAAAAAAAUGUAUUUCAAUGAUUAAAAUAUAAAACCUAUAAUGUAUUAAGAACAUCAUUCAUCUAAUAUAAUAAAAAGAGGGGCGGUGCUGCUAAAAAAAAAUAGAAACGAUCUGACCAAGCCGAAGGUUGCUGCGGAAGGAAAAAAAGGUAAUUAUCCCAUUUAAUUUGCUACGAAGUCAAUUGUUUGCAACUUGUAAUCAAGGAAGUUGGUCUUGUGUAGUAAGUUAUUUUAUUAAUUAAUUAAAUAUGGUGAUAGUUGCUUGAGCUAGCAGUAACAGUGAUUCAUAAUGACAAUGAUGGUGUAAUUAUAUAUAUAGGGUACUGUAUAUAUAUAUGUAUGAAUAUAAAUUAGUGGUUUCUUGUUUGUCAGGUAUAUAUAUAUAUAUUGAUAUGGUACGGUUAUAAAUAUAUAUAUAUAUAUAUAUAUAUAUAUAAUAUAAUAUAAACAAUAAUAUAUAUUUAUAUAUAUAUAUUAUUGUUUAUAUUAUAUUAACUAACUUAUGUUAUUUAUAAAUUAAAUUAAAAAUUUUAUAUACUAAUUAAUUAAUUCUAAUGAUAAAAUUAUAAAUUUACUUAAUAAUAAAUUAAAUAAUAGUAUGUUUGUAAUGGCUAGAUUUGUAAUAAAUUUUAUUUUAUUAUUUAUUUAUUAGAUCGGACAGAAGGAAUUUAACGAACUAUAUUGGGAUAAUAAUUUUGGGUAUUGCAUUACUUAAUCCAGGUACGGAUUCCGUACUCCUUCAGCUAUAAUCCUUUUAAUUUUGAUUUGUUCGUUUUGUUUUCGUUUAGAAGUUAGUUAUUGUUUCGCAUGUUUGUUCCUUCUCAAAUCCAUGUGACAGUUUCGUUCUUGGGCAUUGAUAUUUAGAACUCAUAUUUGUACUCUUUAGGAUAUUGUAUCAUGUCUAAAUUUUAUAUUGAUAGUUAUAGUGAUGUGCAUGUUAUUAUAUUUUUAGAGGCUUGUGUUGAGGAUUCGUUCGAUUUAAUAUGUACACUUUAGAACCCCUUUGUAUUGAUAUUUUGUCGCAUGUGUUGUGAUAUUAUAUUAUGUUAGAAUACCGUAGGGUAUACCUGAGCUAUAACCACCCGUGGGGGUACCACAGACAUGUCUUCUUGGCACCGAGGCAUGACACCUUCCGUGGCGGUGUGAUCAGUCCACGGCGUCUCCGUUUUGUGCUUCGGUGGGAGUUGGCCAUUUGGUGUUUU